This 1240-nucleotide ribosomal RNA is filed under the name Candidatus Phytoplasma citri. RNAcentral's name for it is "bacterial SSU rRNA". It matches the Rfam family "Bacterial small subunit ribosomal RNA", at positions 162 to 1399 of the family's 1533-position model. The record is from RNAcentral. Lineage: Bacteria; Bacillati; Mycoplasmatota; Mollicutes; Acholeplasmatales; Acholeplasmataceae.
GCUAAGACUGGAUAGGAAGAAAUAAGGCAUCUUUUUUCUUUUAAAAGACCUAGUGAUAGGUAUACUUUAGGAGGGGCUUGCGCCAUAUUAGUUAGUUGGUAGGGUAAUGGCCUACCAAGACGAUGAUGUGUAGCUGGACUGAGAGGUUGAACAGCCACAUUGGGACUGAGACACGGCCCAAACUCCUACGGGAGGCAGCAGUAGGGAAUUUUCGGCAAUGGAGGAAACUCUGACCGAGCAACGCCGCGUGAACGACGAAGUACUUUGGUAUGUAAAGUUCUUUUAUCAAGGAAGAAAAGCAAGUGGUGAACCAUUUGUUUGCCGGUACUUGAUGAAUAAGCCCCGGCUAAUUAUGUGCCAGCAGCCGCGGUAAGACAUAAGGGGCAAGUGUUAUCCGGAAUUAUUGGGCGUAAAGGGUGCGUAGGCGGUCUAGUAAGUCAGUGGUGUAAUGGCAACGCUCAACGUUGUCCGGCUAUUGAAACUGCUAAACUUGAGUUAGAUAGAGGCGAGUGGAAUUCCAUGUGUAGCGGUAAAAUGCGUAAAUAUAUGGAGGAACACCAGAGGCGUAGGCGGCUCGCUGGGUCUUAACUGACGCUGAGGCACGAAAGCGUGGGGAGCAAACAGGAUUAGAUACCCUGGUAUGUCCACGCCGUAAACGAUGAGUACUAAGUGUCGGGUUAAACCGGUACUGAAGUUAACACAUUAAGUACUCCGCCUGAGUAGUACGUACGCAAGUAUGAAACUUAAAGGAAUUGACGGGACUCCGCACAAGCGGUGGAUCAUGUUGUUUAAUUCGAAGAUACCCGAAAACCUUACCAGGUUCUUGACAUGUUUUUGCGAAACGGUAGUAAUAUCGUGGAGGUUAUCAGAAACACAGGUGGUGCAUGGUUGUCGUCAGCUCGUGUCGUGAAGAUGUUAGGUUAAGUCCUAAAACGAGCGAAACCCUUAUCGUUAGUUGCCAGCACGUUAUGGUGGGGACUUUAACGAGACUGCCAGUGAUAAAUUGGAGGAAGGUGAGGAUCACGUCAAAUCAGCAUGCCCCUUAUGACCUGGGCUACAAACGUGAUACAAUGGCUGUUACAAAGGGUAGCUGAAACGCAAGUUCUUGGCCAAUCCCCAAAAACAGUCUCAGUCCGGAUUGAAGUCUGCAACUCGACUUCAUGAAGUUGGAAUCGCUAGUAAUCGCGAAUCAGCAUGUCGCGGUGAAUACGUUCUCGGGGUUUGUACACACCGCCCGUCA